Long non-coding RNA from Oncorhynchus keta (chum salmon), 3075 nucleotides. RefSeq lists it as uncharacterized. The record is from RefSeq and is a predicted model, not a curated record. NCBI's taxonomy places the organism in Eukaryota, Metazoa, Chordata, Actinopteri, Salmoniformes, Salmonidae. The transcript is spliced from 3 exons.
CAACCAGUUAUCUAGCUAGCAAGCUAUAUGAAUGAUGAACUGACAUUAGCUACUCUUGAGGGGAUCACUAUUGUAGCUAGUUAUGAAUAGCGAUAACUUGAUAAUAAUGGCAAAGUUGUUUCCAACAAAACAUUUGUCUACUUUAGCAAUGUCAUAUGUCCAUGCCCCUAUAGUGUAAUUUCCGUCUAUCACGACUUUUGGGCACCACUAUGGCGCCGCCGGCAGAGGGCGGCUUGAAAACGUUCAUCACAAUGGCAUGACGUGACCCAGUGACGGAAUUGCAAGCUAAGAAGAGCAACAUUAAACACUUAUGAAAACCACAUUUUCGUACCCUACAAAAAGAAAUUGAACUGUAUUUUAAGACUUUAAAUUUACAUUUGUGUAUAUGAAAUUUUGCCAAAAGAAUAAUGAAAUUAAUGACAUAAAACUGUUUCAGCUUAUUUCUAUUGUAUGUAAAGAAUCCAAACAGUACAUCUCUCCAUAAUAGUGUAAAAUCUUCAUAAAAGUGUUCAAUUAUAAACCUACUGAUGUCUUGCCAAAGUUUUCUUACAUGCAUACUGUAAUGAAACAGCAAGGAGCUCGACCUUCGAGUCGGAGGUCCGGCGCGCUAUCGACUGUGCGGUAAUAGCAUGCUCGAACCGUAGAGUCGAUUUCCGCGCUUAUAAACCCAGGGUCGUUACACUACUCCCUCCUUUCAAAGAGCGCGCUCGUUUGCGACUCUACGUCUUACAGGAACGCGCUCACCGGACAAGCACACGCACUGUCGUGGAUGCGAGGUCCGAUCACUUCUGACACCAGUGUAAUGGAACAGCAGGGAGCAGGUCUCGAACCGUCGACCUUCGAGCCCGAGGUCCGGCGCGCUAUCGACCGUGCCGCAAAAGAAUUCUCGAACGGUAGAGCCGAUUUCUGCGGUUAUAAACCCAGGGUCGUUACAAUACAAUGACAAAAAAUAUGCAACAAAAUGUUACAUUACAAAAGGAGCAAUUUGAGUUGUUUUCCUUAAAUUUCUUCAUAUAGUGGUUGGCAGGAUAAUAUUUGUGAAUAAUUUAAAAGGAAACUUCCUUAAUUUGGUUAACAUGUAGGUAUGUGUAGCAACAUCCAAACUUUUUUCCAACAGAUAUGAUCAAUAAAUCCAUUCCAAUAAGGCAUGACAUAAGGUAUAGAUAGAUACAACAUCCUGCUGAAACAAGGUUCGCAUCGCUCUGUUGUUGAAUGGACCAAAAGAGAAACAAAUCUUUCCUACUGAUCCUGCUGAUGAGUCAACAGGGUCAAUAGAAGGUAGGCUCUGAGGUUCAGGUUUUGACACGUUCCUGAAUAACAUAACAACACCUGAGGGAAUGGCAUCUAAAACAAUUUCAAAAUCUUUAGGUGUUACAGGGACCUUGUAAAGUGAUAAGAUAGCAACAUUUGUCUAUUUUGCCUAGCUCUCAAACUGUCUGUCUGUAGGAGUUCCUACUGGAGGAGUGGUUGCAGUGUUGCCAACUAAUUUUCAGGGUAAGUUGCUAGAGGCAGGUUGAAUUGUUGCUAAAAGUUGCUAAAUGACAUUGUGAUGUCUUUGCGUGAAAACGUAAAUUUGCGUCAUUACGUAGAAUCCACAAUAACGUUACUCAAAUUGACUGGCCAUUUCGGCAAAAAAUGUGAUUUGACAUUUGUUCAGGUACAGACUCCCCCACCCACUCUUUUCUGUACAUUUUUGAUUGAGGCAUGUUGAUUUAUGUAAGUUCUGUUCAAGAUCAAACAUCCGUGACCAACUAUAUUAAUAAUUGGGUUUGGCUCGUAGAAACCCGUACUACUGCUGCAGUCAGGCAACAAUGACUUGCAAUUUGCUACUGGCCUGCUGCUGCCUGUGCACGAGCUAAGCGCCUGCUGCUGACGUCAAUCACAACGCACUUUUGCACACAGGCAUGUGUGUUGUGACUGAGUGUUUGACAGAGAAGAUCGUUUUGUGUCAUUUAGAGGAGAGCUGAGCACCUAUCAGAUCCUCUGCUGUCCUUCACCCCUUGGUGCAGUCUGCUGACCAUCGCUGGGGCCAGGAAAAAGUCUGUCAACCAAAGUAGAAGCCAAGUGUAUCACCAUGCAACACUCUACCGAGGUUCCGGGUGAUCUCCCAUCUUCUUCAUAGUGGCCUCAGCUGGACUCCACUGGUCAGCUGGAAACCCACCGCAUAACCUCUAGCCAGGUGAAUCAAGAGCUUCACCAGAGAUGGAAGAGGAAGCGAGACAUCCUGGCCUUCCUACGUCACCGCCUUAUCUGCUUGUUGCCCUAGCACAGUGUUUCCCUACUCCAGUCCUCCAUCAGUAUACAUUUUUAUUGUAGCCCCAGACAAGCACAUCUGACUCAACUUGUAAACUAAUCAUCAAGCCCUUGAGUUGAAUGAGGUGUGUUUGUCUGGGGGCUACAAUGAAAAUGUGUGCGGUUAGGGGUACUUGAAGACCGGAGUUGGUAAACAACGAGGGAGUUCUAUUAACCUGAGCCGCGGUGCACUGGUCUAUGACCCAUAGCGUGAAAGGGACAAAUCUGUGAGGGAGGAGUGCCCUUCUCAAAUCUAACUGUAAUUUGUGCCACUCUGUCAUGUUGUCGACAAGGCAGCAUGGUGCAUCUUUCAGAAACAUUUUUCCCUUAAAAUAUGUUAGAAUUUUCAAACUAGUUGUUUUCAUUGUGAUUGCAGAUAAUGCGUUUUUAUCAAAAGCAAUCACUUUCACAUGUGAAAACACAGACCUACUCAUUACUCCAUGUGCUUAGUCUAGCCUACAGUAGGCAAUCUGUUUUAACCCGCUGCAAACUGCUCCCAGUGGGGCAACCCAGGCCAGUAAUCGAAUCCCUGCUCACAUUUUAAGCCCUAACAGAGGUGCUCGACCCUAAACACAUGUGGACUGACUACAGGUUAUAAAGAGGCAGAGGGCAUGAACUGCAAAGUGAAAGACAGACCAUAGUUAAAGGGAUACUUUGGGAUUUUGGCAAUGUGGCCCUUUAUCUACUUCCCCAGAGUCAGAUGAACUCAGCUGUCAUAGAUGUUCAAAUAAUCCAUAAUGUAAAAAUAAGGGAAUUUUAUAUUAUUUAACAUAUCAUUCAUUU